RNAcentral lists this ribosomal RNA (253 nucleotides) under uncultured bacterium. RNAcentral describes it as "partial 16S ribosomal RNA". It matches the Rfam family "Bacterial small subunit ribosomal RNA", at positions 524 to 776 of the family's 1533-position model. The record is from RNAcentral.
UACGUAGGUGACAAGCGUUGUCCGGAUUUACUGGGCGUAAAGAGCGCGCAGGCGGUCGGUCAAGUCGAGUGUGAAAGCCCCCGGCUCAGCUGGGGAGGGUCAUUCGAUACUGAUCGACUCGAAGGCAGGAGAGGGUAGUGGAAUUCCCGGUGUAGUGGUGAAAUGCGUAGAUAUCGGGAGGAACACCAGUGGCGAAGGCGACUACCUGGCCUGUUCUUGACGCUGAGGCGCGAAAGCUAGGGGAGCAAACGGG